UCCGGGAUCAGUGCGGUCAGGCAAAGCAAUGUCCUCGCCGGUUCGACAGCUUCUGCUUCAUCGCCGAAAUUGACUUCACGUUUUUUUUUAUAUGGUGAUUUUCUAUGUCGGAUGACGUUUUAAAUAUGAUGGUAUCUGCAAAUUUAAUAACAGCGCUCGACGUGACCAGAUCGAUUGAAAACAUUUCACGGUGUGAAAGUUAAACCGUGUUGAAAUUGUCGUGCCGUUGCAGCCACGUGGCGGAGCACGUGGUGGACGCUUUUCUGUGAAUGCAGUUUAUUAAAAUCUUCAAUGCCGUUUUGGAUCAGGAAUAACUUAAGAAUGUCCUGGAUCCGUUUGACUCAGAAGAGCACUAUAAAUCUUUAAAUAAAGCCCAUUUUCCACCUAC
Long non-coding RNA from Phycodurus eques (leafy seadragon), 388 nucleotides. RefSeq lists it as uncharacterized. NCBI's taxonomy places the organism in Eukaryota, Metazoa, Chordata, Actinopteri, Syngnathiformes, Syngnathidae. The transcript is spliced from 4 exons. The record is from RefSeq and is a predicted model, not a curated record.